AUGGUGAAAUCAAAACAAUUCAGGAUUGUGCUUUCUACAUCCUUGAUCUUCCUUUUACUUAAUUUCGUCUCUUGUUUCCCUGGAGCGGAGGCGUCUCCACUGAGAGGAAACGGCGGAGAUGAAGGCGCUGCCGAGGUAAUCAAAGACGCUGAAUCCAGAGGUUCAGCGAUAACCGAAAGCGACCCCAGUAACGACACGGUCAUCAAUGUCCCCGACGGUGACCAAAGUUCAUUCGAGGACAUCGAAGACGAAGAGGUAGAGACGCCCCUCGUGGCCGCGAUCCGAACCGAAUGCAGCAGCCUCCAAAACAAACGAACCCGAAAGAUGUGCGAGGCUCUCCUGAAAACGUCCAUGGAAGAACACCCGCUUCAUCUAGAGGCAAACCAAGACACCAUGCAGAACGAGAUUGACUACGAGAGAAGCGAAGAAGACGACAAGAACGGUGUUGCCAGGAGGCGGAGACGAUCGGAAGGAGCAGGUGGCCUGGCGAAGAGCGUUUGCUCCUGGUUGAAAAAUUUGAACCCGGUGAAGAAAAUCAAGAACCGGGGUAGGGACAGGGUUCGCGGAGACGAGUCGAGUGUGGCCAGGCUUGGCGUCGAUACAGAGAGGAGUCUAGAAUCAGGAGGUGCCAACCAUGAGUCGAAGGUUGCGGAAAACGAUGACAGCUCCCUCGCUCUUCCGCUCUUGGUUACACAAAUCAGGAGGGCGGCUACCGGGCGUCCAAGAUUCUACGGUCGAGACCAUGACGAGAACGAACACGAAACAGGUGAAGAGGCACGCGCUGAUGUACCUGAUGGUGACAAGACAGAUCCCAAGGAUAGCAAAGGAAACUCUGAAGAUGUUAAAGAAGACGAUGGGGUUAAGAACGCACAUCCUAAGAUUAAGGACGCACAUCCUGAGGCUAGGAACGCAUACCCUCGGGUGAAGGAAGAAGGAAGCGAUAAAGAUGAGGUUGACGAAAAAGAUGACGCCGAGAAAACUGAGAAAGACCUGAAGGAGACGGAUAAGGUAAAGGAGGACGACGAUUAUGGCGAAGAUGACGAGAAAGAAGAUAAAUCGCCUGUGAAAGGUAGGGCUGAAACUGAUGAUAAGAAGGAAUCUGGUGAGGAUGGUGAUAGCUUGUCCGAGGAGAAAAGGGUGAAAAGGCAGGAUACUGAGGAAAUCAAGGAGAUUUUCAGUUGGCUGAGGCCGGGAGCUAGGUGCUAUUAUUUGAAAUGUACGGGAGCUUACCCACAUAAGAAAGAUUUGGAUAAGGAAGAUAAGUAUGAGAAGAAGGACAAGCAUCCUCGGCAGAAAGCUGCCUUCUAG
RNAcentral lists this long non-coding RNA (1308 nucleotides) under Bemisia tabaci. Its description in RNAcentral is "lncRNA ENSSSA1UGG007972". Lineage: Eukaryota; Metazoa; Arthropoda; Insecta; Hemiptera; Aleyrodidae. The record is from RNAcentral.